CAUUGCAGGAUUUUGCUGAUCAGAAAGUUCAAGAAGGUGGCCUGCCAGAGGAUGAGAAAGAAAAAUUCAAGGAAUUCCUGAAGGAGAAGGUUAGAGAAAGGAAGAGAGAACUGAAACAGGCUAAAGAAGCCAGGAGGAAAGCUAUUGAUGAUAUGGAUCCUAAGGGGAAAGGGUAAACCAAAAUCAAAAUCAAAUCCAAAGGAUACAGGUUCAUGGUUUGAUGGCGACAGAAAAGCCAUAAUCCAACUAGCUGGAGAACUUUUCUGGAAAAUGGGUGAAGACCUGGAUAGCAUCGCAAAAGAUUAUACUGCUUCUUUUCAGGAGUGGCAUGUCUGUUAGUUUUAUUU
Long non-coding RNA from Zea mays, 347 nucleotides. RefSeq lists it as uncharacterized. Lineage: Eukaryota; Viridiplantae; Streptophyta; Magnoliopsida; Poales; Poaceae. The record is from RefSeq and is a predicted model, not a curated record. The transcript is spliced from 3 exons.